Molecule: long non-coding RNA, 886 nt
Filed under: Pan troglodytes (chimpanzee)
Lineage: Eukaryota; Metazoa; Chordata; Mammalia; Primates; Hominidae
Description: long non-coding RNA NONPTRT010003
Source: RNAcentral
UCAACCCAGAGGAGCAGGAUCCACGAGGAGUUAGAAAACACCAGGAAAAGGGUUGUUUCCACCUGGAAGAGAAAUGCUAGAGCAACACGCCAUCUUCCUCAACAUUAUCAUCUGUCUCUGGAUGACAAUGAAAUUCACAGGACACCGAUUGUCUUUUUAUCCCAUUGGACAUCGUGAUAGUCUACAAUACUGAUAACACCACGAUGAUAGGAUCUGAAGACCUGGAAGUACCAGGUACCUGAAGUACCAGAUCAGCAGGAAGAAGAGAUGGAAGCAACGCCAUGGACCUUCACGUCCUUCAGAGUGUGGGUGGGCUUUGGCUUUGCAGUGAGAGCAAGUAUCACCCAGGAUGGAGAUGGGAGGUAAUGGGUGGCCCCGACAGGUGCCUCCUACUGCUGGCAGCAAGGAGAGAGUGAAGAGGCAGAAUUUCCUUGGUCUAGACUAGUGUCUGGGUCAUGGGCAUGGCAGUGCUUGAGCUUUUGACCAGAAGCAAGUGGACAUGGAUUUGAGCUUCGGGUAAGAAGGGAGACUUCUCUCCAGGGACCAUAGGGGCUGGCAGCUGAAGAAGGUGACUUGGCCCCUCUCUAGAGGGUGAACGCAGGAUCAAUUCAAGGCCAUGAAGUGGAUGCAGCUGGGAGAGCCUGCUUGGUGCUUUUAAACCUCAACAUGUCCACCGCAAAUACCUCAAACACUGCUCACACCGUGGUAAAAUCUAGUUGCGAAAUCUGUCCUGCGGCAGCCUUCUCCAUCCCAGGCGCCCAGGCCCCAUCUCCUGGGAGCAGGCAGCUCUCCCGACCCCGCUUCAUGCCCCUCCUACAGCCCAAGGCAACUCCCUGCAACCUUGGUGAAUGAAGCACAUCCUGCUGCCCAGGCUCCUGAGCUGUUU